This is a long non-coding RNA of Formica exsecta, 2124 nucleotides long. RefSeq lists it as uncharacterized. Lineage: Eukaryota; Metazoa; Arthropoda; Insecta; Hymenoptera; Formicidae. The transcript is spliced from 3 exons. The record is from RefSeq and is a predicted model, not a curated record.
CGGCGCAAAAUCCGGCUCACGGCACGUGAGAUAUAACCUCGUUUACUCGCACUCACUAAACAAAGCAGUCAGAAUCUCGAGAGGAGACGCGUUUAGGAGAAGCACACUUGAAUCCGCGUAUCCGUGGUAGAUUAGAGAAUUUCCUGAUCGACAUUUGAUUCUUACGAGUAUGUACGAUCACAACACUGCGGAUCACUCACUACUGAGCAAUGAGACAGUGAGUAGUAGUAGUAAGGUUAGGGUAGCAUGAGCACGCAAUGUAUAUGUAUAUAUGUGACACGACGCGGCACUACUUUUCGUUAGUCCGGGGAAUGCACUCCGAAAACAACGAUAAAUAAUAACGGUGACAAGACGGACGCGCACACUCCACACGAUGGUCGGCGCGGCAAUGAUUCCGGGUACAUUGGCUCGCUGCAGUCGGCGAUGGUGGGGGGGACCCCAAGUUCCACGACGAGGGGGAAGACGGUACUACUACGCGAGUGUUGGUUGGAGGGAUCGGUGGUGCGGUACAGAGAGGGAAAAAGAAUACUUAUAAGCGAGACUGUGAGAGAGGUAGGUAGCAGAGGAGAUACAUAGUAAAAUGAUGGCUGAUUUGGAGGAAGGGGAUAUGUAGGAUAGUUUCCAAGGGGGGCAGCAGAGCGAGCGUCUCGGAAGGUUGAGGCAAACGGCCAUUUCUCAUUUUUUUGAAUAACACGUUUUCCAUUUAUGGACUAAACUGUUUAGUAACGUUGUAAUUUCGUAACGUAAUGAUCUCUUCGAAUCACGAUAAUUGAAGACGGAAUAGGAAAAAGUCACGACGGAUGUAUCUAAGGUAGAUGGGCGGGACCGCGUACGAAUUGGAUGAGAGAAGAAGAGAGAGUGGGAGAUGAGAGAAAGGUAGAGGAGAGGAAGAGGCGCAGUGGGGAAUUGGAGUCUGACUGUGUAAGGAAGAGGAUGGUUCAGAAGGGUGGUUCCGGGUGCCACCCCCCUCCCCUCAGAUGGGUGUUAUAGGGGUGCAGGAUGAUGAAACUGAAGCUCAAAGGGCGACAUUGCGAAAUGGUACAAGAGAUCGAGACCGAAUCGCAGAGGAUGCUUUCUACAGUAAAAAAAUUUCCAGGGAAAAAUUGAAGCAUGACAGAAGCGCUGGAGUGACUGUAUAAAGUCACAAGGAGACUAUUUCGAAAAGAAUGCAGGCAAAUUAUAAAUAAGGUAAGCCUAACAUUUUUUAUAGAGUAAGACCGGAAAAUUUUCGAUAACACAUCGUAUAUAUAACAGCGGAUUCUGAUUCGCGAUGGCUCGACAGGCUGAUCAACUGAUUGUUUCGAUUGUUCACUUCACUAUCCGACUUGAUUUUUUGGCGAAUCUCUUUAUAGGUUUGUGGGCGGUCGUUCAGUCAUAGUACCUGGUUCGGUAUAAUCCCGGAAAUUGUCGUUUUUGCAGUCAACUCGUGAGAAUAAAGCCCAGGUGCAAGCGAAGAAGUCCAAAGUCGAAUUUCUUUGCUUGCAGAUUUUCGCAAUCUUGAUUGCUGACUUCACGAUUCGCGCGGUGAACGUCCCCAUUUAUUAAAUUAAAAUUGAAAUAAAAUUGUGUAUGUCAUAUAUACUUAGGCUAUAACAAAAGCAAUCAUGUAUUUUUUGUAUCAAUCAAUUCAUCUCAUCUCAUUUAUUGUAAAAAUAUUAGUUAUCGUAAUGUGAAUACAUUACAAAAUACACAAUACACAAUCACCUAAAAUGUUUUUGGAAUAUCCGAAUACCCGGAUAUUACACUCGGGUACUCGGAUUUGGAUAUUGACAGCACUAAUUCAUAUCUGUGAUAACGAUUUUUUAAACUUUGAUGCCAUCGAUACACGCUAGCUUGUCGCGUAUAUGAAUCGAUUUGUUACUGAUUCGUCAGCAUUCAAAGAUCAAUAAGCUCGACAUCUCUGCUUUUCUUUCAAUAUUCUUUCACAAAGUAAUAAAUCACGUUCGGCGAAUGUUCGAUGUUUUCCAUUAUCUUCCAAAAGUCAAAUUCGAUAAAUAUCAAACAUAAUGCAAAAAUUCAUCCGCGAAAAUCAGAGCAAAACGAGCUUACAUCGUUUUAUUAAAGUCCAUUAAAAUUAUAUCAAUAAUCAAUUUUUUUAAAUAGCAUACACACAUGUGAAUUGUU